AUUGAACGCUGGCGGCAUGCCUUACACAUGCAAGUCGAACGGCAGCACGGGAGCAAUCCUGGUGGCGAGUGGCGAACGGGUGAGUAAUGUAUCGGAACGUACCUUUCAGUGGGGGAUAACGUAGCGAAAGUUACGCUAAUACCGCAUAUUCUGUGAGCAGGAAAGCAGGGGAUCGCAAGACCUUGCGCUGAUUGAGCGGCCGAUAUCAGAUUAGCUAGUUGGUGAGGUAAAGGCUCACCAAGGCGACGAUCUGUAGCGGGUCUGAGAGGAUGAUCCGCCACACUGGAACUGAGACACGGCCCAGACUCCUACGGGAGGCAGCAGUGGGGAAUUUUGGACAAUGGGCGCAAGCCUGAUCCAGCCAUUCCGCGUGCAGGACGAAGGCCU
RNAcentral lists this ribosomal RNA (387 nucleotides) under uncultured bacterium. RNAcentral describes it as "bacterial SSU rRNA". It matches the Rfam family "Bacterial small subunit ribosomal RNA", at positions 30 to 417 of the family's 1533-position model. The record is from RNAcentral.